CCCCUUUGCCCCGCCUCUCGCCAUUUCCGAAGAGUUACGGAGAGGGGGUAGGGACAGAGGGCAGGAAGAGGCGCGUGCGCGCGCCCGCGCCAACCUUCCGCUUGGGGUUGAGAGCAGAGGGGGGGACGGAGGCGAGGCCUGGGGGUUCACGUGACUGUCAGCGCUAGCCUUCUCCUGGGGAAUUUCCUGAGUGGUCUUCCGCUCCUCAGUGAUGCAAACCGUCCUCGUGCCGCUCCUCCUUAGCUUCCAAGGUUUCUUUUAACCGUUCGGUUAAAUUUCUAACCUAGAGCAUGGAUCCUCACAACUGCAUCCAUGGCGCCUGUCAUCCAGACUCUCCCCUGUUGAGGAGCUCACUGCUGCGCAAGAAGUCCGCUUUUUUGCCCUGUUCUUGGACUCUCUAGUCUGGCAUCAAUUCAGUGGAAUGAGGAAUGCAAAGGAGAGAAAAUGGAAUUUUCUUGAUUAAAAAACCCUCCAAACUUAAAAAUAAAAGUGUUUGGAAGCUAUGAGCUGAUUGUA
This is a long non-coding RNA of Monodelphis domestica (gray short-tailed opossum), 516 nucleotides long. RefSeq lists it as uncharacterized. The record is from RefSeq and is a predicted model, not a curated record. NCBI's taxonomy places the organism in Eukaryota, Metazoa, Chordata, Mammalia, Didelphimorphia, Didelphidae.